Molecule: ribosomal RNA, 320 nt
Filed under: uncultured Bacteroidales bacterium
Lineage: Bacteria; Pseudomonadati; Bacteroidota; Bacteroidia; Bacteroidales
Description: bacterial SSU rRNA
Rfam family: Bacterial small subunit ribosomal RNA
Source: RNAcentral
GAUGAACGCUAGCUACAGGCUUAACACAUGCAAGUCGUGGGGCAGCAUGAAGGAAGCUUGCUUCCUUUGAUGGCGACCGGCGCACGGGUGCGUAACGCGUAUGCAACCUACCCACUACAGGGGGAUAACGGAGGGAAACUUCCACUAAUAUCCCAUGGUGUUGUUUUCCCGCAUGGGGAGACAACUAAAGCUUCGGUGGUAGUGGAUGGGCAUGCGUGACAUUAGGUAGUUGGCGGGGCAACGGCCCACCAAGCCGACGAUGUCUAGGGGAGCUGAGAGGCUUAUCCCCCACACUGGUACUGAGACACGGACCAGACUCC